Molecule: ribosomal RNA, 481 nt
Filed under: uncultured bacterium
Lineage: Bacteria
Description: partial 16S ribosomal RNA
Rfam family: Bacterial small subunit ribosomal RNA
Source: RNAcentral
GAUGAACGCUGGCGGCGUGCUUAACACAUGCAAGUCGAACGAAGCACUUUAUUUGAUUUCCUUCGGGACUGAUUAUUUUGUGACUGAGUGGCGGACGGGUGAGUAACGCGUGGGUAACCUGCCUUGUACAGGGGGAUAACAGUUGGAAACGGCUGCUAAUACCGCAUAAGCGCACGGCAUCGCAUGAUGCAGUGUGAAAAACUCCGGUGGUAUAAGAUGGACCCGCGUUGGAUUAGCUAGUUGGUGAGGUAACGGCACACCAAGGCGACGAUCCAUAGCCGACCUGAGAGGGUGACCGGACACAUUGGGACUGAGACACGGCCCAAACUCCUACGGGAGGCAGCAGUGGGGAAUAUUGCACAAUGGGCGAAAGCCUGAUGCAGCGACGCCGCGUGAGCGAAGAAGUAUUUCGGUAUGUAAAGCUCUAUCAGCAGGGAAGAUAAUGACGGUACCUGACUAAGAAGCACCGGCUAAAUACGUG